AUGGUGAGCAGCGGCGACCCCGGAGUAUUUGGCGAGGCAGGCAUCGGGCUGGAGAUCCGCCGCGUCCACGACUGGGUUCCCGAGGUCCAAUAUCCUUGGGGUUUGCUUGAUGAAGUGGUAUACAAAUACUAUGAUGGGGAAAAGAAUUGGGUGACAGUUAGUAAUGAUGAAGAGCUAGCUACCAUGUUUGUUAGGCAUAAAGAGAAAGAUAAUUUUCAUGUGAGGCUGCAAGUUGAUGUGCUUGAGCAGACAUUUGGACCUAGGAUGGUGGGUGCAACAUCUCGGGGAGAACCAAGUCGUCGUAAUGGCAUCUCUAGCCAGAACAGUUCAGUUGGUGCACGGCGACGUGGUGGCUCGACAAGUGUGGGCAACAACAGUAGGGCCCCCCUUGAAGUGGAGCCUGAUGGCUACAAUUCUUGGGUUGAUGAAGAGAAGCUAUAUUCUGAUGUUAUUUGGAAUUUACGACGGGCACCUCGGACUGAAAAUCAAGAUGAGGCUCACAAUGCAGUCCGUGUGGAUGAUGACGCGAUGGGUGAGGACGAAGACCUUGCAGCUGUUGAAUGGGACCCUUUGAACCCUCAUAUGGAAGAAGGCUUCGAUGAAAAUGUUGGUCAGCAGCCGGUUGCCUCAACAGAUGAUGAAAAUGAUGGUCAACAGCCGGUUGCAUCAGAUGAGGAUUUUGACGAGGUUCCAAAUGAUGAUGGUCAACAGCCGCAUGAUUUUGACGAUGAUCCAAAAUAUCCUCCAAAUAAUGAUUCAAGUGAGGCUCUAAAUGGUGAUCAUGGUGAUCCAAGUGAGGCUCCAAAUGAUGAUCCAAGUGAGGCUCCAAUUGGUGACCAACCUUCUGUUGUUGUGAGUUCUGCUAGGUUUGAAGAAGACGCGCAAGGUACCGACAACCAAGAGAAGAAGAGAAGAAACAAUGAGCACAAGGUGCACGAGGAGCAAAGUGAUGGCAAGAAGCUCAAGGAACAGACAGAAGCCCCAACGCUAUCUAUGAAUAAUUAUGAAACAUUAUGA
Molecule: ribosomal RNA, 1017 nt
Filed under: Triticum aestivum (bread wheat)
Lineage: Eukaryota; Viridiplantae; Streptophyta; Magnoliopsida; Poales; Poaceae
Description: partial small subunit ribosomal RNA
Source: RNAcentral